GAUCCACAAAAGCGGCAUACAUACAAUCGAUUUCGGGACGGCGGCCGCCGGCAAGACGCACGACGAUGGGCGCCACCCACGGGUACUCUCCGCUCCAGCCGGAGGAGGAAGAGAUGCAGCAGGAGCCAUCGCUGGCAGAAAAGAUCUGCGUCUGCAUGGUGGUGUUCAUGGUGCUGUCCACGGUGGUAAUCUUGGUCGUCGCCUGUAUGGGCGGCUUGAUCUUCUACAUGGUCCAGGCCAGCCAGGGGCCGCACUACUACGUCUCCGUCGACUCCGUCAGCGGCCUCGAUCCGGCGACGGACAUCGGACAAAAGCCCGCGCUGCACC
This 327-nucleotide long non-coding RNA is filed under the name Hordeum vulgare. RNAcentral's name for it is "long non-coding RNA (HVUL_LNC017151)". The record is from RNAcentral. Lineage: Eukaryota; Viridiplantae; Streptophyta; Magnoliopsida; Poales; Poaceae.